This 174-nucleotide ribosomal RNA is filed under the name Brevibacillus brevis. RNAcentral describes it as "partial 16S ribosomal RNA". It matches the Rfam family "Bacterial small subunit ribosomal RNA", at positions 1 to 181 of the family's 1533-position model. Lineage: Bacteria; Bacillati; Bacillota; Bacilli; Caryophanales; Paenibacillaceae. The record is from RNAcentral.
CUUUAUUGGAGAGUUUGAUCCUGGCUCAGGACGAACGCUGGCGGCGUGCCUAAUACAUGCAAGUCGAGCGAGGGUCUUCGGACCCUAGCGGCGGACGGGUGAGUAACACGUAGGCAACCUGCCUCUCAGACCGGGAUAACAUAGGGAAACUUAUGCUAAUACCGGAUAGGUUUU